GGUGAGUUGAGGAACAAGAUCCAAGCAGUGGCGCGGCCUAAUUCCGGUGUAAUCAACGGCGACAAAAAUGGGUUGAGCUACGGGUUUUUCAAGCUUGAUCACCAGUGUUCUACCCAUUUUCCGGUGAGGUGGCCGGAAUCGGUGGCUGGAGUCGGGUCGAGUUGCGCGAGUUCGGGUCGGGUCGGUUCGGGUCAAACCUGGUCAGCUUCUCUCUUUCUC
This 219-nucleotide long non-coding RNA is filed under the name Citrus sinensis (sweet orange). RNAcentral's name for it is "long non-coding RNA (CSIN_LNC004016)". Lineage: Eukaryota; Viridiplantae; Streptophyta; Magnoliopsida; Sapindales; Rutaceae. The record is from RNAcentral.